RNAcentral lists this ribosomal RNA (209 nucleotides) under uncultured Thermoflexus sp. RNAcentral's name for it is "partial 16S ribosomal RNA". It matches the Rfam family "Bacterial small subunit ribosomal RNA", at positions 355 to 580 of the family's 1533-position model. The record is from RNAcentral. Lineage: Bacteria; Bacillati; Chloroflexota; Thermoflexia; Thermoflexales; Thermoflexaceae.
UGGGGAAUCUUGGGCAAUGGGCGAAAGCCUGACCCAGCGACGCCGCGUGCGGGAAGAAGCCCUUCGGGGUGUAAACCGCUUUUGCCGGGGACGAGAAAGGACGGUACCCGGCGAAUAAGGCCCGGCCAACUACGUGCCAGCAGCCGCGGUAAUACGUAGGGGCCGAGCGUUACCCGGAUUUACUGGGCGUAAAGCGCGCGUAGGCGGGG